UGUUUUACAUAGGAGGUAGACGCGGCUGGAGGCCAAGGUCAAGUUGAAAGUUGCUGUCUAGCCAUCCAG
Stegastes partitus (bicolor damselfish) is the source of this 69-nucleotide unclassified non-coding RNA. Lineage: Eukaryota; Metazoa; Chordata; Actinopteri; Pomacentridae. The record is from Ensembl.